This 1349-nucleotide long non-coding RNA is filed under the name Brassica napus (rape). Its description in RNAcentral is "long non-coding RNA (BNAP_LNC008857)". Lineage: Eukaryota; Viridiplantae; Streptophyta; Magnoliopsida; Brassicales; Brassicaceae. The record is from RNAcentral.
CAUUAUACACUUGAUUUAAAUAUCUUUUAACUGAUAAUAUUUUCUUAUAUAACAUAGAUAUGCCUAAAACAAAAGUGGAAUAGAUUUUCUAAGUUGCAGCUUAUUACAAAAACUGGUUUAUCACAUAAACAUUAUUAUGCAAACAUAGCAAUGUUGCAAGCACUUAAAAUAAACAGAUCAAUUACAUUCACAACACAAACACAAGCUAUCAAAUGUUCUUCCUCUGCUUGAUUUUCCAGUCCAAGUAUUUCUCAACAACAUCGAGUCCACAAAGCUCCUUCACAACAGGCAUUGUUGCUGGAACAGGCAAAUCAAAGCUCAGAUCAACCCCUUGUUGGUUAUUACUCCAUGUAUGAACCUGUUUAUUUGCUUCUUUAACAGCUGCUCGGACCGCACAGUGAACAGAAUUUCGUGGCGGAAACGAAUCCAUUUGUUUCCACCAGUUGGACGUUCUCCUGUUAGUCUUAGCUUCCUUGUUGUGGUUACCGCCACCUUAACUUGUUCUUUCUUGAAACCUAAUCACAUAAGACAAUGCAUUAUGAGCUUUGCUUGGUUCUUACCAAACUACUUAUCUCUCUUCUUUCUGUUCAAUGUAGAGAAAUGAAACAUGAAUAAACAAGAUUGAGAAGAAGAAGAAGAAGACAAAGAACCUGGAAGAUCAACGACAAGGAUCUCAGCGUCUGGUUCAAAGGUCCAUCUAGUUGCAGGCUCAAAUUCUUGGUAGAUUCUAGUUGCAGCCAUUCUCUCUCUCACUCUCUUUUAUAAUCUUUGGUUUAAAUAGAAGUUAAUGUUUAUGUGAUGUGAGAAAGCAGAGAAACAUCAAAUGAAUUUAUAGGCAAAGAAGAUUAUUAGACAGCAAAGAGUUUUGUUUGAUUUGGUUUUAGUUUGAAGAAACGAAGGCUUAGUUCUUUUGGUUUUCUUUGUCUUGAAGCUUUUAAUGAUUCUUUGGAUUGAGUUCAAUAUUAAGUAUACCUUUAUUAUUUGUUAUAUUCAUAUUUUUUUAUUUUCAUGUACGUAUGAGAAUAAUAUUUUCUUAUACACAUGCAACGUUGCAUGAAGAUGAAUCCAAACACCCCCAUUGUUAUGCUCACCAUCCUUGCAUUAUACACUUGAUUUAAAUAUCUUUUAACUGAUAAUAUUUUCUUAUAUAACAUAGAUAUGCCUAAAACAAAAGUGGAAUAGAUUUUCUAAGUUGCAGCUUAUUACAAAAACUGGUUUAUCACAUAAACAUUAUUAUGCAAACAUAGCAAUGUUGCAAGCACUUAAAAUAAACAGAUCAAUUACAUUCACAACACAAACACAAGCUAUCAAAUGUUCUUCCUCUGCUUGAUUUUCCAGUCCAAGUAUUU